CCAGCUGAAUUUAAGCAUACGUAUUACUAGGCGGAGGAAAAGAAUCUAAGAAGGAUUCCCUCAAUAGCGAGCUCAGGUAGAUGUCGUUUACGGGAGGUCCCAUUCUCCCAAGGCGUGGUCCCGCGAGUCCAAAUCUCCCUUGAACGGGGCCACUUCCCACAGAGGGUGCCAGGCCCGUAGGACCGCGGCCGCUCCCGGUUAGGGACUCUCCUCAGAGUCGUGUCCCAUGGCAGUGGAGCACCAAGAGGGUGGUAAACUCCAUCUAAGGAUAAAUAUGACCACGAGACCGAUAGCGAACAAAUACCGUGAGAGAAAGUUGAGAAGCC
Molecule: non-coding RNA, 326 nt
Filed under: Zootermopsis nevadensis
Lineage: Eukaryota; Metazoa; Arthropoda; Insecta; Blattodea; Termopsidae
Description: Eukaryotic large subunit ribosomal RNA
Rfam family: Eukaryotic large subunit ribosomal RNA
Source: Rfam by way of RNAcentral